This is a non-coding RNA of Fulmarus glacialis (Northern fulmar), 46 nucleotides long. The record is from Rfam. Lineage: Eukaryota; Metazoa; Chordata; Aves; Procellariiformes; Procellariidae.
UUAAUGGCUUUUUUCAAGGCCAUAAACUUAAGGGUAGGAAAAAUAU